Oxyura jamaicensis (ruddy duck) is the source of this 1159-nucleotide long non-coding RNA. RefSeq lists it as uncharacterized. Lineage: Eukaryota; Metazoa; Chordata; Aves; Anseriformes; Anatidae. The transcript is spliced from 4 exons. The record is from RefSeq and is a predicted model, not a curated record.
GUGGAGCCAUGUAUCUCUCCCCUGGGCUGUGGGGCUCAGCUGCUUUUCAGAGGUAAGAGAGGAGAAUAAUUGAGACACAAAGGACAGUAAUCCAGCUGAGCAGCCCAUCUGUUCCUGGGAGCACAGGAAGGAAAGAAGAUGGAGAGGACAUAAUAUUGCUGAAGAGAUGCAAAGAGAAGUUUUAAUUAUAUUAAGAGAAGGCAGGUGAAUGAGAGACCUUGACUUCAGUGGGACCUAGACCUGGCCUUCAAAAAUGUGGGGUGGAGGGAGGGGAGGAAGUUCCGACACUGAGUUCUACAGAGCAUUUUGAUCACAGAGCAUCUUGUUAGCCAAGCCACAGUUUUGUUUUGUUCUGUUUUUUACUGUUACAGGCUUGUCUUACCUAAAACUGUGUAGAGAAUGCUGUAGCAGCUUAGAAGAGGGGGUCUGUCAAAUACUGUAGUUGUUUACAUUCUGUCAUUACAAUUAACUGAAAAAUGAUUGUGCUUGCUGUAGGUAACUAGUUUCCCUGUGAUGUCUGAACUUCCAUUAUGGCAGUUGUUGUAUCAUGUAAUACGAAGAGUUCUUUGUCUCUUUGUCAUUCUGACAGCUUUACCUCCUGCCUCCAUUUUAUUUCAUGAUGCACUAUGGGAUUUUACCGUUCUUGAGCAGCCGUCUUUUUAGGGAGUAUGCGAACGCCACAUGUAAAGAUGAAUUCAGAUUGGUACCUGUGUGUUUUCAUAUUUGUCAUACUCGCCUAUCAGAUUUAUAAUUGCACAUGUACUUGAUUGAAAGCCUGUCUAAAUAUCUUAACAGCUACGCUGUCUCAAGUUGGUUUAACAAAGUCUUUGGUUCUUUCAUUCCCACUUUAACGUUAACAGAACUGAAAACUUUUAGAAUGGGAUUCAUCUCACCUAUUAUACAGAUCAAGAAUUUAAGUGCCUAGACUAAGCUACUUUCCUGGCUCUCAUUGUGGGUAUGCAAAAACACUGCUAGAUUUGUCCCACUUAUCUCAGAAACCUUGACCUACUGACUCCUCUCCAGUGCUCGUCGGGAGGGAACGAUGACCCUUACGUUAAACACCUCAAUGUUACAUUUAAACAUAAACAUCUAGCUCCUGUUCUUUCACCUCACCAGUUAAAAUAACAUUUUCUGAAGAUGUAGAGUCCUUCAUAUUCAA